GUACCCGCUGAACUUAAGCAUAUCAGUCAGCGGAGGAAAAGAAACCAACAGGGAUUGCCCUAGUAACGGCGAGUGAAGCGGCAAACAAGCUCAGAUUUGGAAUCUAGUCUGCCUUGUGUAGGCUCGAGUUGUAAUCUGCAGAGGGUGCCUCAGGUAUAGUUCCCCGCCGAGUUCCCUGGAAUGGGACGCCCCAGAGGGUAAGAGCCCCGUGAGGUGGGUGAGCAGGCCUAUCAGAGUCCCCUUCGAAGAGUCGCGUAGCUUGGGAAUGCUGCGCAAAGUGGGAGGUAUACCCCUUCUAAAGCUAAAUACCGGCUGGAGACCGAUAGCGCACAAGUAGAGUGAUCGAAAGAUGAAAAGCACCUUGAAAAGGGGGUUAAACAGUACGUGAAAUUGUUGAAAGGGAAGCGCCCGUGGUCAGACUCGUGCUCUGAGGAUCAGCCUGCUCUCCGCCGGCGUACUCCUCAGAGUUCGGGCCAGCGUCGGCUCGCGUCCGGGGUCUAAAGAUGUUGGGAAUGUGGCUCCCCCCUUCCCGGGGGAGCGUUAUAGCCUGAUGUAUAAUGCCCUGGGGUGGGCCGAGGUCUGCGCCUCCGCAAGGACGCUGGCGUAAUGACCACCGGCGGCCCGUCUUGAAACACGGACCAAGGAGUCGUCCUCGCAUGCGAGUGUUUGGGUGUAAAGCCCUUACGCCAAAUGAAAGUGAAUGUUGGUAGGAGCUUCGGCGCACUAUCGACCGAUCCUGAUGUUCUCGGAUGGAUUUGAGUAGGAGCAUGCUGGGCCGGACCCGAAAGAGGGUGAACUAUGCGUAUCUAGGUUGAAGCCGGGGGAAACCCCGGUGGAGGACCGCAGCGGUUCUGACGUGCAAAUCGAUCGUCAAAGACGCGCAUGGGGGCGAAAGACUAAUCGAACCUUCUAGUAGCUGGUUUCCGCCGAAGUUUCCCUCAGGAUAGCAGUGUCGAUCUCAGUUUUAUGAGGUAAAGCGAAUGAUUAGGGACUCGGGGGCGACGUACUGCCUUCAUCCAUUCUCAAACUUUAAAUAUGUAAGAAGCCCCUGUUACUUAACUGAACGUGGGCGCUCAAUGUACGACACUAGUGGGCCAUUUUUGGUAAGCAGAACUGGCG
RNAcentral lists this ribosomal RNA (1119 nucleotides) under Nitschkia calyculus. Its description in RNAcentral is "eukaryotic LSU rRNA". It matches the Rfam family "Eukaryotic large subunit ribosomal RNA", at positions 22 to 1155 of the family's 3401-position model. Lineage: Eukaryota; Fungi; Ascomycota; Sordariomycetes; Coronophorales; Nitschkiaceae. The record is from RNAcentral.